UGUUUGCAAAAUAUUUUUUGAAACGAAAU
RNAcentral lists this non-coding RNA (29 nucleotides) under Rattus norvegicus (Norway rat). Lineage: Eukaryota; Metazoa; Chordata; Mammalia; Rodentia; Muridae. The record is from RNAcentral.